Molecule: transfer RNA, 68 nt
Filed under: Cordylochernes scorpioides
Lineage: Eukaryota; Metazoa; Arthropoda; Arachnida; Pseudoscorpiones; Chernetidae
Description: tRNA-Thr
Source: RNAcentral
GUCCAGGGAUGGGAAACGAACAGUGUUCGCUUACCAGGCAGAUGCCAUGUCCACUAGGCUACCCUGGA